This 261-nucleotide long non-coding RNA is filed under the name Elaeis guineensis (African oil palm). RNAcentral's name for it is "long non-coding RNA (EGUI_LNC036099)". Lineage: Eukaryota; Viridiplantae; Streptophyta; Magnoliopsida; Arecales; Arecaceae. The record is from RNAcentral.
AUCAAAGCGGUCUCUGGUUAUUUUGUUUUCAUCUCAAGUCUAUUCUAAAGAUCAUAGAUCAGAUAGAGAUAGAAAAAGAGCGGGUGGAGAGACAAAUCUUAGAGAAAUAAGGAGAGAGAGAAAAGGUAUUUUUUCACUUUUUCUUUUCUUUUCUUCUUAUUCUUUUCUUUUCUUCUUUCUUUAGCCGAACAGGGGAGGAUGGGUGGUUCGUGGUUCUUGGCAGCUGGUGGUGGAAGAUCGAUGAUAGAUGACGAUGCAGGC